AGGGCACCACCAGGAGUGGAGCCUGCGGCUUAAUUUGACUCAACACGGGGAAACUCACCCGGCCCGGACACUGGAAGGAUUGACAGAUUGAGAGCUCUUUCUUGAUUCAGUGGGUGGUGGUGCAUGGCCGUUCUUAGUUGGUGGAGUGAUUUGUCUGGUUAAUUCCGAUAACGAACGAGACUCUAGCCUACUAAAUAGAUCGUCGGCUUACAAACGCCGGCGAGACUUCUUAGAGGGACAGGCGGUGAUUCAACCGCACGAAACAGAGCAAUAACAGGUCUGUGAUGCCCUUAGAUGUCCGGGGCCGCACGCGCGCUACACUGAAGUGAUCAGCGUGCUUUUUCAACCUACUCUGUCAAGAGUGGGGAACCCAAUGAACCUUCUUCGUGAUUGGGAUAGGGGAUUGUAAUUGUUCCCCUUGAACGAGGAAUUCCCAGUAAGCGCGAGUCAUAAGCUCGCGUUGAUUACGUCCCUGCCCUUUGUACACACCGCCCGUCGCUACUACCGAUUGAAUGUUUU
This 519-nucleotide ribosomal RNA is filed under the name uncultured eukaryote. RNAcentral's name for it is "SSU rRNA". It matches the Rfam family "Eukaryotic small subunit ribosomal RNA", at positions 1161 to 1699 of the family's 1831-position model. The record is from RNAcentral.